GGCUCCGUGCUCGUCCACCGAACGGUCGGCAGGCAAUCCGUGUCACGUGAUGUGGGGUGGGAAGGUGCCUCAGAGGCUGGUUCUUGUGUUGCCUACCCCCUCAAGGGAAGCAGGCCACUCGACGGUUAGCCUCCAUCCGGCGCCUCCCGAUGGGCGCAGGUGGACAACGAUGCGCCCCCCGUGUUCCAACGAGCCUUCAUCGGUCGCGUGGCCCACGGGGGCGCGCAAUUCUCUCGGACCCAGUGCACGUCGUGGACGAGGACUCUGUCCAAGUCCUAAGAGAAGCUUCGAUACGAUGUAUGACGGCCGCGCUCGCCCCUUGGCCGCCCCGGCGGUGCAAGGGCGGCGCGCGACGUCGCGAGGACUGCUACCUGGUUGAUCCUGCCAGUAGUCAUAUGCUUGUCUC
RNAcentral lists this unclassified non-coding RNA (406 nucleotides) under Lysiloma sabicu. Its description in RNAcentral is "partial contains external transcribed spacer and small subunit ribosomal RNA". Lineage: Eukaryota; Viridiplantae; Streptophyta; Magnoliopsida; Fabales; Fabaceae. The record is from RNAcentral.